UACGUAGGGUGCGAGCGUUGUCCGGAAUUAUUGGGCGUAAAGAGCUCGUAGGCGGUUUGUCGCGUCGACUGUGAAAACCCGAGGCUUAACCUCGGGCCUGCAGUCGAUACGGGCAGACUAGAGUUCGGUAGGGGAGACUGGAAUUCCUGGUGUAGCGGUGGAAUGCGCAGAUAUCAGGAGGAACACCGGUGGCGAAGGCGGGUCUCUGGGCCGAAAUUGACGCUGAGGAGCGAAAGCGUGAGGAGCAAACAGG
This 253-nucleotide ribosomal RNA is filed under the name uncultured bacterium. Its description in RNAcentral is "partial 16S ribosomal RNA". It matches the Rfam family "Bacterial small subunit ribosomal RNA", at positions 524 to 776 of the family's 1533-position model. The record is from RNAcentral.